This 71-nucleotide transfer RNA is filed under the name Bacteroidales bacterium. RNAcentral describes it as "tRNA-Cys". It matches the Rfam family "tRNA". From Rfam's summary of the family: Transfer RNA (tRNA) molecules are approximately 80 nucleotides in length. Their secondary structure includes four short double-helical elements and three loops (D, anti-codon, and T loops). The record is from RNAcentral. Lineage: Bacteria; Pseudomonadati; Bacteroidota; Bacteroidia; Bacteroidales.
GGUGCUAUGGCCGAGCGGUUAGGCACUGGUCUGCAAAACCAGGUACAGCGGUUCGAUUCCGCUUGGCACCU